UUAUUAUAAUUAAUUUUGUUUAUUUAUUUUAUGAAAGAUAAUUUAGAAUUAAUAAAAGUAAGUAUUGUAUAGGGAAAUUUAAUAAAGAUAAUAGAGAAGUAGUAUUGUAAAGAAAAGUUUAAAUAUAUUUAUAUAUUAAGUGAAAGAAGUUAAAUAAAACGUGCCUUGUGUAUCAUAAGUUAAUAAAGUAUUUUUUAUAAAAAAUAAUCCCGAAAAAAAGAUAGUUAAAUUAUUAUAAAAGUUUUUGUUUUAAUUAAAAUUAAUAAAUAAUAAUUUAGAGGUGAAAUGUCAGUCGAGCUUUUAUAUCUGGUUUUAAAUAAAACGAAUUAAAUUCGAGUCUUUUUUUUAUAAAAAUAAGAUUAAAGAAUAAAGAGGUGAGCUUUUUAUUCAAGAAAGAAAUAAGUAUAAAUUAUUAUAAUUAAUUUGUAUGACUAGGCUUGAAAGUAGCUAUGAUUAUAAAGUGUUUUAACUAAUAUUUGUUAUAAAUAAUAUUUAAAAUAAUUUUAUUUAUUUAGUUUAAAAUUUUUUUAAAUAAUAAAUGAAAAGGUAUUAUAUUAUUAUUAGUAUAAAUUUAUUUUGUUUAAAUUAUAUAAUGAAUUUAUUAAUAAAAUAUAUGAUAAUAAAUUAUUAAAAACUAACUCGGCAAAAAGAUUCUUGCCUGUUUAACAAAAACAUGUCUAUAUGAUGAUAUAUAUAGUUUAGCCUGCUCACUGAUUGAAUUAAAGAGCCGCAGUAUUCUGACUGUGCGAAGGUAGCAUAAUAGAUUGUCUUUUAAAUGGAGGCUUGAAUGAAUGGUUGGACAAAGUAUCAUCUGUUUCUUUAAUAUUUAUUGAAUUUGACUUUUAGGUGAAAAGGCUUAAAUAAAUUAAAAAGACGAUAAGACCCUAUAAAUUUUUAUAAAAAAUAUAUUUUAAAUUUAAAAUUAUAAGUUUAUUAAAAUUUAUAUUAUAUUUUUAUUGCACUGGGGCGGUGUAGAUAUAUUAAAUAACUGUUUAUGAAAUUAAAACAAUUAUAAUUGAUUAAUUUUAUUGAUCCUUUAAUAGAUUAUAAGAUUAAAAUACUUUAGGGAUAACAGCGUUAUUUUCUCUGAGAGUUCUUAUUGAAGAGAAAGUUUGCGACCUCGAUGUUGAAUUAAAGUUUCUUUAUGGUGCAGCAGCUAUAUAAGAGAGUCUGUUCGACUUUUAAUACUUUACAUGAUUUGAGUUCAGACCGGUGUGAGCCAGGUUGGUUUCUAUCUUUUAUUUAAAUAAAAUUAUUUUAGUACGAAAGGAUUAAAUAAUUAAAAUAUUUUUAUAAAUUGAAUGAUAUUAUC
RNAcentral lists this ribosomal RNA (1312 nucleotides) under Pagurus sp. D20M. RNAcentral describes it as "16S ribosomal RNA". The stretch from base 1068 to 1226 matches the Rfam family "Archaeal large subunit ribosomal RNA", at positions 2542 to 2701 of the family's 2987-position model. The record is from RNAcentral. Lineage: Eukaryota; Metazoa; Arthropoda; Malacostraca; Decapoda; Paguridae.